UGGGGGAUAUUGCACAAUGGGGGGAACCCUGAUGCAGCGACGCCGCGUGGGUGAAGAAGCGCCUCGGCGCGUAAAGCCCUGUCAGCAGGGAAGAAAAUGACGGUACCUGACUAAGAAGCCCCGGCUAACUACGUGCC
This 137-nucleotide ribosomal RNA is filed under the name uncultured bacterium. RNAcentral describes it as "partial 16S ribosomal RNA". It matches the Rfam family "Bacterial small subunit ribosomal RNA", at positions 355 to 509 of the family's 1533-position model. The record is from RNAcentral.